This 819-nucleotide long non-coding RNA is filed under the name Calidris pugnax (ruff). RNAcentral describes it as "lncRNA (ENSCPUG00000010563.1)". The record is from RNAcentral. Lineage: Eukaryota; Metazoa; Chordata; Aves; Charadriiformes; Scolopacidae.
GUGAUGUGACACCAGGUUUCUUUUGGCAAAAUGCUACUACAUCACAACCAGAAUUUGUAGGCUUCUUGUCUGCCUUACAGGUGUCAAUGAUGUCCAUCCUCUUCUUAAACAGGUUUGGUACAAGCUCCAUCCACCACAAUUAGUGCUGAAAAACUUCUGUUGAGGGUCCCUGAGUCCGUGUAGGGAUCCCAUUGCUCUCGCUUAGCAGGGAUCUCACAGAUGGACUGUGCUGACAAAGGAUGCCUGGGCUGAGAGGAGGUCUGAUACCGUGGUGUAACCCUGACAUACGUUGUCAGCAGCACUGCCAUCGCCAGCGAGAGCAAGGGGGAGGACUGAAAUUCUCCCGUUCAAUUGGGCGAAUUUGACACCUUCUCGUUCUUGUGUCCUCGUGGCUCGGCCACUUGACAUUUCUAAACAUUCUCAAGCAAGUUCACUGCAAAACUAUCCCAUGUCAGGAGCUGGUGAUGUCAAGGCUAAUAACAGUCCUGAGGUCAAACCCUUCUGAUCCUUCAGGCAAGGACCUCAAGAUUUGGCUUCAAGUCAAUAACAAGGUCUGUCACGUUGACGAUGACUUAUUAUGAAUCCCAGCGCAAGCCUUUCCCAAAGAAAGUGUGUUCGUUUGGUUUUCCAUGCUGGAAAAGGUUAGCAGUUUCCAAAGGCAGGUUCUCUCUUCCUUGCGUGGAGCAGCAAGCAAAACCUGUGAGCCUGGAAUGGGCAACAGCAUUUCACCUUAGAGCAGGAGAUGGGGACAGUGGCCUUUCUUCUGAACGGAAAACUCUGUGCAACCCAUCCUACCAAGACACACACAUCAGCAGAUGA